This 487-nucleotide ribosomal RNA is filed under the name uncultured bacterium. Its description in RNAcentral is "bacterial SSU rRNA". It matches the Rfam family "Bacterial small subunit ribosomal RNA", at positions 29 to 507 of the family's 1533-position model. The record is from RNAcentral.
AUGAACGCUAGCGGCAGGCUUAAUACAUGCAAGUCGAGGGGCAGCAUGACUGUAGCAAUACAGUUGAUGGCGACCGGCAAACGGGUGCGGAACACGUACAGAACCUUCCUUCGAGCGGGGAAUAGCCCAGAGAAAUUUGGAUUAAUACCCCAUAGCAUAUUGAUGAGGCAUCUCAUUAAUAUUAAAGAUUUAUCACUUGAAGAUGGCUGUGCGGCUGAUUAGGUAGUUGGCGGGGUAACGGCCCACCAAGCCUUCGAUCAGUAACUGGUGUGAGAGCACGACCAGUCACACGGGCACUGAGACACGGGCCCGACUCCUACGGGAGGCAGCAGUAAGGAAUAUUGGUCAAUGGACGAAAGUCCGAACCAGCCAUGCCGCGUGAAGGAUGAAUGCCCUCUGGGUUGUAAACUUCUUUUAUAUGGGACGAAAAAAGAUCUUUCUAGGUCACCUGACGGUACCAUAUGAAUAAGCACCGGCUAACUCCGUG